GUAGGAAAGGACGAAGAGGAAGCGCCAGGGAUGUUGAGGCCGCAGAGGCGCUAUUUUGGUUACGGGCAGGACUGAUUCCCAGGACCCAAACCCUUUUUUAUCUCUUGGGUAGAAGAGGUGGAAGCGUGGAGCCAGGAGGCCCAGGAUCCAGAGGGAUCCAGGGAUGGGAGCAAGGAAAAAGAAGAGCUGAAGGGGAAGCUCAUUAAAAGAUUCUGCCUUUUAGUCAAUGCACGUGAAAUAUCUGGCAAGGAGAUACAUGUGGCAUCAAGCCUUGUUGGCACUCUGCUCUUAAGACCUAGAGAUGAACAUAAAGAGGAAAAAGGCUCCCAUGCUCACUCUGCUCACAGCAUGCAAAGAUAUCUGCAUGCUCCCUGGAUUUUACAUCUUUUGAAUAAAGAUGUAUUCUUGGGUCACAGAAGCUGGAAAUACAUGUUGACUUUAUUUUUUUAAUCCUCACCUAAAGAUAUGUUUAUUGAUUCCAGAGAGAGAGGAAGGGAGAGACAGAGAAAUAUUGAUGUGAAAGAGAAACAUGGAUCAGUUGCCUCUUGU
Long non-coding RNA from Phyllostomus hastatus (greater spear-nosed bat), 549 nucleotides. RefSeq lists it as uncharacterized. The record is from RefSeq and is a predicted model, not a curated record. Lineage: Eukaryota; Metazoa; Chordata; Mammalia; Chiroptera; Phyllostomidae. The transcript is spliced from 4 exons.